This 242-nucleotide ribosomal RNA is filed under the name uncultured Tepidiphilus sp. RNAcentral's name for it is "partial 16S ribosomal RNA". It matches the Rfam family "Bacterial small subunit ribosomal RNA", at positions 1137 to 1382 of the family's 1533-position model. The record is from RNAcentral. Lineage: Bacteria; Pseudomonadati; Pseudomonadota; Hydrogenophilia; Hydrogenophilales; Hydrogenophilaceae.
ACUCUAGUGAGACUGCCGGUGACAAACCGAGGAGUGGGAUGACGUCAAGUCCUCAUGGCCCUUAUGGGUAGGGCUUCACACGUCAUACAAUGGUCGGUACAAAGGGCUGCCAACCCGCGAGGGGGAGCCAAUCCCAGAAAGCCGAUCGUAGUCCGGAUUGUUCUCUGCAACUCGAGAGCAUGAAGUCGGAAUCGCUAGUAAUCGCGGAUCAGCAUGCCGCGGUGAAUACGUUCCCGGGCCUU